Molecule: long non-coding RNA, 897 nt
Organism: Oncorhynchus tshawytscha (Chinook salmon)
Lineage: Eukaryota; Metazoa; Chordata; Actinopteri; Salmoniformes; Salmonidae
Exons: 5
Source: RefSeq, a predicted model, not a curated record
UGAUCGUUGAUGCUAAUCAGCAUGUUUUGAAUCUGAGAGUAAAUAGAGCCGAAUAAAACUCUAAAAAUGAAGGGUUCAACUGGAGUUGUUGUCAGAUCCCCUAAGAACCGUAGGGUUCUUGGUCAAUGAAAAACAGCCCCAAAAGGUUCUUCAAAGAGCUUGUUAGAAGGUGGGUUCAUCGAGGAACCUCCGUUGUUGCUGGACUUCUUCCGGGAACUUCGUAAUUACAACUGAAAACGAUGGUGACAAGUUUGGAUGCAACAACAAGUUAGAAAGGACAGAACAUGGACACACUGCAAUUGGGAUCAAGAAGAAGAUCUUCUCAGAAAUUAAUCAAGUCCAUGGAAUGGAUAUAGACAAAAAUAUAAUUCAAGGACUAGCGGAGGUAGAGAGGCGAGGCAGGGGUGAGGACAUCUUCCUGCUAUUUUGACAGUCCCUGAAGGACAAUACAGAAGAGGACUGGAGACCACAGCAGCGAUUCUGCUCUUGCCCAACAUCUUCAAUGAGGACCCGAGUGGCCUUUACGCCCGUGACAAGAUUUCACCGCUCUUCAAUCCUUUACUGCACAUCGGCGGAAAUCCAUUUCACCAUGAGAGUGAAAUCCCGCUGGCCUUUGAUGGGGAGAACAUCCACGCCCUCGAGGACGUCCCCAUGGGACUUGGGGCUCUGCUAGUGCUGGAUUUUUUAUUUUCCCUUAAAUUUCAGAAAAACACAUGUUCUUAAGUUUACUGUGCUCUGGGGAUGAGAGGGAUUAAUGAAAUAGCGGCCACAACAGACAGACCUGAUAUCGCCCAUAAUUCGAUGUCACGUGCUGACUGGGUAUGACCAAAGUUAUUCUAUUUAGCUUCACUUUGUAGUACAUUUUUACACGAUAAUAAAUGUUUCUGAUGCCACAUC